Molecule: ribosomal RNA, 465 nt
Filed under: uncultured bacterium
Lineage: Bacteria
Description: partial 16S ribosomal RNA
Rfam family: Bacterial small subunit ribosomal RNA
Source: RNAcentral
GACGAACGCUGGCGGCGUGCUUAACACAUGCAAGUCGAACGGAAAGGCCCUUCCUGCAGUGUACUCGAGUGGCGAACGUGUGUGUAACACGUGUGUGCUCUCCCCUUCACUUCGGUAUAAGCCUGGAAAACUUGGUCUAAUACCGUAUAGGCGCCCUUUUUAGUUUGAUGGUUGGAAAGUUUUUUCGGUGUGGGAUGGACUCGCGGCCUAUCAGCUUGUUGGUGGGGUAAUGGCCUACCAAGGCUGCGACGGGUAGCCGGCCUGAGAGGGUGAACGGCCACAUUGGGACUGAGAUACGGCCCAGACUCCUACGGGAGGCAGCAGUGGGGAAUAUUGCACAAUGGGCGGAAGCCUGAUGCAGCGACGCCGCGUGGGGGAUGACGGCCUUCGGGUUGUAAACUGCUUUCGAUAGGGACGAAGCUUUUUGUGACGGUAGCAAGAUAAGAAGCACCGGCUAACUACGUG